UGAAGAAGAAAAGGGAAUACUGG
This 23-nucleotide non-coding RNA is filed under the name Mus musculus (house mouse). Lineage: Eukaryota; Metazoa; Chordata; Mammalia; Rodentia; Muridae. The record is from RNAcentral.